This 428-nucleotide ribosomal RNA is filed under the name Bacteroidota bacterium. RNAcentral's name for it is "Bacteroidetes bacterium partial 16S ribosomal RNA". It matches the Rfam family "Bacterial small subunit ribosomal RNA", at positions 355 to 776 of the family's 1533-position model. The record is from RNAcentral. Lineage: Bacteria; Pseudomonadati; Bacteroidota.
UAGGGAAUCUUCCGCAAUGGACGCAAGUCUGACGGAGCAACGCCGCGUGAGUGAAGAAGGAUUUCGGUUCGUAAAACUCUGUUGUUAGAGAAGAACAGCGCAUAGAGUAACUGUUAUGCGUGUGACGGUAUCUAACCAGAAAGCCACGGCUAAAUACGUGCCAGCAGCCGCGGUAAUACGUAUGGAGCGAGCGUUGUCCGGAAUUAUUGGGCGUAAAGGGUACGCAGGCGGUUUAAUAAGUCGAAUGUUAAAGAUCGGGGCUCAACCCCGUAAAGCAUUGGAAACUGAUAAACUUGAGUAGUGGAGAGGAAAGUGGAAUUCCUAGUGUAGUGGUGAAAUACGUAGAUAUUAGGAGGAAUACCAGUAGCGAAGGCGACUUUCUGGACACAAACUGACGCUGAGGUACGAAAGCGUGGGGAGCAAACAGG